This 572-nucleotide ribosomal RNA is filed under the name uncultured Russula. Its description in RNAcentral is "eukaryotic LSU rRNA". The stretch from base 180 to 332 matches the Rfam family "5.8S ribosomal RNA". The record is from RNAcentral. Lineage: Eukaryota; Fungi; Basidiomycota; Agaricomycetes; Russulales; Russulaceae.
CUACUAUGAAUUAACGAAUUGUCGACGUGCAGGGCGGACGAAGACCUUUUGUGCACGCUCGACUCUUUUCAUCCAUCUCACCCUUUGUGCAUCACCGGGUGGCCCCCUUAUGACGGACGCUUGCGUCUUCACAUAWAUUGAGUGUAAAAUGUUACUUUUGCGGUCACGCGSAUCUCUACAACUUUCAAAACGGAUCUCUUGGCUCUCGCAUCGAUGAAUAACGAAGCGAAUKGCUAUACGAAUKGUGAAUUGCAAAAUUCAAGGAUUCAUCGAAUCUUUGAACSCCCCUUGCCCCCCUUGGCAUUCCGAGGGGUACGCCCGUUUGAGUGUCGUGAAAUCAUCAACCUUUUUCCCUUUGGAUUGUUUUGAACUUGGAGGUUCCUGCUUGCUUUUUUGAAAGUGAGCUCCUCUCAAGUGAAAUAAAGGGGUCCGCUUUGCUGAUCCUUGAUGUGAUAAGUGUUUCUACAUUUUGGAUUUACCCCUGUCCUGCUCCCAACCGUCUCUGGACAAAUGAUGGUUCCUUGAACCCACCUUGACCUCAAUCGGGUGAGACUACCCGCUGAAACAUAUCA